UUGUCUUUUAAAUAAAGACCCGUAUGAAUGGCAAGACGAGGGCUUAGCUGUCUCCUUUUUCAGGUCAAUGAAAUUGAUCUUUCCGUGCAGAAGCGGGAAUAUUAACAUAAGACGAGAAGACCCUAUGGAGCUUUAGACACCAAGACAGAUCACGUCAAAACCCCCUAACAAAGGAUUAAACUAACUGAACCCUGUCCUAAUGUCUUUGGUUGGGGCGACCACGGGGAACCACAAAACCCCCGCGUGGAAUGAAAGCACCACCCUGCUUUUACAACUAAGAGCCUCCGCUCUAAUAAACAGAAUUUCUGACCAACAAGAUCCGGCAACGCCGAUCAACGAACCGAGUUACCCUAGGGAUAACAGCGCAAUCCUCUUUUAGAGUCCAUAUCGACAAGAGGGUUUACGACCUCGAUGU
Molecule: ribosomal RNA, 415 nt
Filed under: Collichthys lucidus (big head croaker)
Lineage: Eukaryota; Metazoa; Chordata; Actinopteri; Sciaenidae
Description: partial 16S ribosomal RNA
Rfam family: Bacterial large subunit ribosomal RNA
Source: RNAcentral